AAGGUCGAAAUGCGCUCGGGAAUAGGAUGUAACUACGCCCAAACUGCUCUUAAUUGACCACGUGCUUGGAUACAGAUAUUACAUCAACGUUACCGGAAUGGAAGCGAGGCUAAAAGGAUAAAUUUCUGCAAAAUUAGAUCAAAAACGAGACAAACUUGUCUGCAGAUAGCGUUGUUAGUAAUUAAGGAAGGACGUGCCUAAACAGCAUAAACAGGGUGCCCCACGUAACACUAUUGUACAGUUUCCAAUUGCCAAACUCCAACCUAACUGCAACAACCAUCUGAUAGCUGCAACAAAUUUAAUUGCUUUCGAACCACCCGGUAUAAUACAAAAUAAAAAUUACCGUGCAUUCCGGUUCAUCUAAUCUGAAUGAAAGUCAUUACUUGCGAACCACCCGGUAUAAAUGGCACGACGAGCCCCCGCUUCUCGAUCCGAGAUGCUUUAUUUUCACCGUCCGGCGAUCGGAAGGCGUUCUCCGUCAUUUUAUUCUCCGUUCAUUCCCGCCCUGCCCCCGCUACGAUCACAAAGGAACGAUCCGUUGGUUCGUUUUAAAAAAAACAGUAAAUCCCGCGUCAGUUGCCGCGUAUCGAGGCCCGGCUGAUAUACGACCAGGCUCUCGUUUAAACGCUCGAAAGAGGGCCGAGGGAGAAGAGGAAGAGGGCGAACGGAAAUCCGAACUAGUCGACACCCUACGGAGUUACGACACAACGAG
Molecule: long non-coding RNA, 712 nt
Organism: Eufriesea mexicana
Lineage: Eukaryota; Metazoa; Arthropoda; Insecta; Hymenoptera; Apidae
Exons: 4
Source: RefSeq, a predicted model, not a curated record